GCACUGCUGACGAAUCCUAAACAGGACGAAACAGCUUUCCAGUGC
This 45-nucleotide non-coding RNA is filed under the name Echinostoma caproni. Lineage: Eukaryota; Metazoa; Platyhelminthes; Trematoda; Plagiorchiida; Echinostomatidae. The record is from RNAcentral.